RNAcentral lists this unclassified non-coding RNA (326 nucleotides) under Mycoplasma sp. Its description in RNAcentral is "16S-23S ribosomal RNA intergenic spacer". The record is from RNAcentral. Lineage: Bacteria; Bacillati; Mycoplasmatota; Mollicutes; Mycoplasmatales; Mycoplasmataceae.
CUACGGAGUACAUAUAAGUAAUUUAAAUUACUUAACUAACCAUUUUUAAGACCAUUUUAUUAAUAAUGAUAUUUACGACAUGUUAUGAGCUUGGUCAGCAUUAUAUCUAGUUUUGAGAGAACAUUAAUCUCUCAAUGUUCUUUGAAAACUGAAUAGUAAGAUAUUUUAAUUAAUAUUUACCAACGACAUCAAACAUAUAAAAUAAAAGGUUUAUUUGUUUUGAUUUUAUCGAGUAAAAGAAACAUUUAUGUUUCAUUGAAAUGUCUUAGAACACACAUCAAUAAUAUGACACAACAAUAGGUUAUACAUUUUAAAUAUUAAGAGUA